This 3807-nucleotide long non-coding RNA is filed under the name Medicago truncatula (barrel medic). Its description in RNAcentral is "lncRNA gene18311". Lineage: Eukaryota; Viridiplantae; Streptophyta; Magnoliopsida; Fabales; Fabaceae. The record is from RNAcentral.
GUCGCAUUUUUUGUGUUAACUUUAAUUUAGAAAGAUACUUGGCGUCUGCCAUGUGCCUCUACUCUACAGUUCAAAAGUAGCCUAGUACUUCCAAAGUGGAUGAUCUGUGAAAUUUGUACAAAAUAGUGCUUGAAAGGGAAAAUAUUUUAUAUUUCAACUGCAAAAAAAAAAUAAAAUUACUUGAGCUCCUAGCGAUUUAAAAAGAAUUUCAGAUAAUGAUUUAGUUCGUAUGCUCGCUCUAUCGCUGUAAAUUUAUUUUAAUCUUUGCAUUAUCAUACAUAUGCUUGAUUAUAAUCUGAUGACAAUUUAAAAGUAUUAUGGUCCUUUAUCGCUCAAAUAUACCAGUGCGUUAUCAUCAUCCGUGAAGGAUUACAGUUGACACAAAUUUAUGCCUCGUUCAAGAUAUAUGGGAAGACCAAGUAAAAUAAUUUAUGACAAAAUAUCUGGUAAAAACAACCAGUAGACAGCAUUAAAAUUAAUAUCCGAAACCACCACAUAAUAUCAGAAACAGGUAUGUUUCAGCAGAAAACAACAUAAUUCUACCGUUAUUCAGCUACUCGUCAUUAACAUGAUCCAAAAAUUCAAAUCAUUCUUCUCAAGUCUCAAUUCAUUUUUCCUCAGGCUCUGGCUUCUCGAAGAAGGUCUUCCUCAAAAAGUCCCAUGGCUGUUGGUGAUUUAAGCAACAAAAAAACAAUGCAUUAGAAGUUUAGAACUGCACUAAAGAUAUAACAAGAAACCAUAUAUGAAUACUUAAUAAAAGCAAAAUGUCACACAUACUAACUCAAAUUACAAAAGUAGAGAAAUUCAUUAAAAGCCAUGUGCCCAGAUAGCAAGGAUGAUUAAGCCACAACUUGUGACAGUGUCCUCAAGAUCAUUGAAGAAGCUUAAAAGAACCAGUAAAACAGAGACUAUUGAAAGAGCUCCACCUCUCAUUAAAGCAAUCUAUUUGAAGACUUAUAUCCAACUUAGAGUAUAUUACAUUUGGAGCUAUUACUGUAGUCCUUUCCUUACAGCUACCAAUGUGUGGCUUUAUCCUUGAGUAAGGUUAUACUGAUACAAAAGUUAAGUUCUAGACCCUUAUUACUGAGGGUAUAUGCUACAAGGAAAGUGAAGGGAAAAAGAGGGUACACACAUAAGGGUAAGGAGGACGGAAUAGAAAGGCGUCUUCAUGUUGUCAAGUCCGGGCCAAACAGUACCUGAAUGCUGAGCUCAAAAAGACUAGUGGCAAGUUCGAGUUCAGAUGGGGAGAAAUGAGAAUAGAAUUUAGGAUAAUUAAUGUUCCAGAGUGGAAUAUUAGUAGACCCCGACGACAAUGAGACUAGUGGUUGUUCUUUCUGAGCAAUGAGUAAUUUAACCUCUUCUCUACCAUUUUCUUCCUCUUUUAUGCUAUAAGAAUGGUAACUGCCCUUGGUGGUUUCUUUGGCUGUUAUCCCUGGUUGUGUGUUCCUUUCCCCGAGUACAUGUUUUUCAAUAACUCGGAUUGUUUUCCCGUUACAUAGGAAUAGUACAUGUUGAGUAAAAAGAGGAUGGGCUGCGCAUUCAGACGUGGGCCGAAUGCCAAGUUCAUAUGAUCCAAUCCGGCAAUGGUCAGGGGUUUGGCCUUUUUGGUUAACCCAAGAAAUAGGAAAUAGUCAAUGACGGACCAGGUAGAAACAUAGGCAUGAAUUGAGAGGAAAAGUGAGGGUUUAGGAUGGUGGUCCGAUGCAUCUGUAUAACUAAAUUUAUCUUUUCAGAUUUGCAAUUUUCAGUUCUAGACUACAAGUAAGGAGCUGGUCUUUGUUGUUUUUGUUGUUAAAAAACAAUAUGUGUCAUCGUUUGUGACAUACAACAAUAACUCCAUUAAAACCAAAAUCCGAAUCAAAUAGUUGGGGGUCGUUUAAUUUAUAAACCCUAUCUAGUGGUCUAACUCUCCAGCCUCGUGCUUGAAGCCAGGAUGCACAAAAACAUGUAAUGACUAAUAAUGAGAUUGAGAACACGUGAAUCUCGUAAUGUCUAUAUGUUCGACAGUAUUCCUAUUUUUUCACCGAGGAAGAGACAAUAUCAAAUUCAACUAAUCAACGAAACAUCUAUCAAAAGAUCAUAUAAAUCAAAUUUUGUUGAAACUUGAAGUAUACUAACUUUUAACAAAGAAUUCCAUCAGCAUCACAAACAAAAAAAACUUAAAUUAAACAUUCAUGCCAGCCAUGUUUGGUACACCAUAAAGCAGACCAGAAAGUUCAAAAUUUUAUAAACAACACUAUACAAGCCAUUGAUUAAAUAUAUCAAACAAACACCAUUAAUCUUAAGAGCAAUGAUAUUUGUACAUCUAUCUAAUGACAACUUUGGUGACAGCUCUGAAGCCCCGAAACUCCAAAAAUGGUGAAGUAUCGUAUCCGACACGUAUCCGAUACCGAUACGCCCCAAUACGUCCCGACACUUGUAUCGGAGAAGUAUCGGACAGUUAAUAUUUAUUUUUUGAAGGAAAAAAAAUGACCGAUACAUGUCGGAUACGACUAACUUGUACUCCGACACAGCUUACUUAUACUCCGACACCUAUCAAGUCUGGCAGCGCUAUCAAAAUCAUAUUGUCUCUUCUAACCUAAAAAAAUAGGGUUUCUCGUCACCACAUAGCAAUAGCUAUUCUCUCUUCUAACCAUUACCACUAAUUGAAUUCUACUCUGUUUCUCUUCUCUCUAAUGUUAUGUUUCUUCUGCUGUUUGUUUUCGAUAUAAAUUACUGAUGUUAAGUAGUCACCAUUAGACAAAGAUGUUCUUUUUUUUAUAGUACUUAGAUGUUCUCUUUGGAUGGUACUAAUGAUGUUUAGCUAUAUUCUAUCUAAUUUGUGCGGAAAAAAUAUGUAAUUGUCACUUGUUUUGAUCAUUUUCAUUAAUGUGAAUGUUUGUUUAUCUUCAUUUUUAGUUAUGUUUAUACAUUGUGCACAUACUAUUAAUUUUAAAUUUAAUUUUUUAAUAACGUAUCGAGGUCGUAUCGUAUCAGGAAUUUUGAAAAUUUUCGUACCGGUAUCGUAUCGGUAUCGUGUGUCAGGUAUCGGGGCUUCACAGGGUGACAGCCAUGUGUUUCUCUCUUCUUAUUGGUCAAAAACAAUAGAAAGAGAAAAAGGAAGAGAGAGGAUAAGAACAGUUGUCAAAAGUUCUCACAAAAUGGUUGUAGAAAUCUCUAAUCUUAAAUGAUGUAAAAUUCACAUAUGAAACAAUCACCCCAAAAAAAUUCAGUGUAACAAAAUAACUCAAAGUCAAUAGUAAACUAAUGUGAUGUGCAAUGCUGCGCCUACAGAUCUAUGCGUUGGUGAAAUUUAUGAUAUGAUAGGAACUUAAAAGCCAUAAAGGCAAUCUCCAACACGUGAUUGUGGAUUCAACAAACAUCACUGGUCAAUUUCAUUGAAUAUUGGUGGAAAUCAUUCCAAUAAAUUAAAGUCAAAAAGACAUUAAAUUUAAAAUAAAUAAAAAAUUAUAUCAGAAUAUGGAUUUCAAGAGUGAGGCAGAUAAAACAUAUCGAUUCGAAAAUACAAAAAUUGACGAUCGAGAUCAAAAUUUUAGAUCAGUAUAGAACACCAUCGAAUGUGAGGAUUCAAAGAAGGUAGAGGGUACAAAUCCUUAACAUCAUAUAUAAUCUUACGAAGGAAACUUGAAAAGUAAAGAGAGUAUUGAGAAUCUGAAUUAUCGAGGGAAGAUAGAGAUGGUUACCUGUACGAGGUAAAGAGCGCCGGUACCGGCAGUGACGCCCCAGAAGGCGGCGGCUUUGAUGUCAGAAAAUCGAGAACGAAGCUUCGCAGGUAAACCGGCCAUUUUCCCCAAAUGUCAAAUCUCG